CCCCUAAGUCGUGGGAUACCAUUUGGAAACAGGUGCUAAUACCGGAUAAUAAAGCAGAUCGCAUGAAUCAGCUUUUGAAAGGCGGCGUAAGCUGUCGCUAAGGGAUGGCCCCGCGGUGCAUUAGCUAGUUGGUAAGGUAACGGCUUACCAAGGCGACGAUGCAUAGCCAAGUUGAGAGACUGAUCGGCCACAUUGGGACUGAGACACGGCCCAAACUCCUACGGGAGGCAGCAGUAGGGAAUCUUCCACAAUGGACGCAAGUCUGAUGUAGCAACGCCGCGUGAGUGAAGAAGGUUUUCGGAUCGUAAAGCUCUGUUGUUGGUGAAGAAGGAUAGAGGUAGUAACUGGCCUUUAUUUGACGGUAAUCAACCAGAAAGUCACGGUUAACUACGUGCCAGCAGCCGCGGUAAUACGUAGGUGGCAAGCGUUGUCCGGAUUUAUUGGGCGUAAAGCGAGCGCAGGCGGAAAAAUAAGUCCUAAUGUGAAAGCCCCUCGGCUUAACCGAGGAACUGCAUCGGAAA
Molecule: ribosomal RNA, 521 nt
Filed under: uncultured bacterium
Lineage: Bacteria
Description: bacterial SSU rRNA
Rfam family: Bacterial small subunit ribosomal RNA
Source: RNAcentral